This 503-nucleotide ribosomal RNA is filed under the name uncultured bacterium. Its description in RNAcentral is "partial 16S ribosomal RNA". It matches the Rfam family "Bacterial small subunit ribosomal RNA", at positions 30 to 523 of the family's 1533-position model. The record is from RNAcentral.
AUUGAACGCUGGCGGCAGGCUUAACACAUGCAAGUCGAGCGGGGUGAUGGUGCUUGCACUAUCACUUAGCGGCGGACGAGUGAGUAAUGCUUAGGAAUCUGCCUAUUAGUGGGGGACAACAUCUCGAAAGGGAUGCUAAUACCGCAUACGUCCUACGGGAGAAAGCAGGGGAUCACUUGUGACCUUGCGCUAAUAGAUGAGCCUAAGUCGGAUUAGCUAGUUGGUGGGGUAAAGGCCUACCAAGGCGACGAUCUGUAGCGGGUCUGAGAGGAUGAUCCGCCACACUGGGACUGAGACACGGCCCAGACUCCUACGGGAGGCAGCAGUGGGGAAUAUUGGACAAUGGGGGGAACCCUGAUCUAGCCAUGCCGCGUGUGUGAAGAAGGCCUUAUGGUUGUAAAGCACUUUAAGCGAGGAGGAGGCUCUUUUGGUUAAUACCCAAGAUGAGUGGACGUUACUCGCAGAAUAAGCACAUGCUAACUCUGUGCCAGCCGCCGCCGUAA